RNAcentral lists this ribosomal RNA (501 nucleotides) under uncultured bacterium. Its description in RNAcentral is "partial 16S ribosomal RNA". It matches the Rfam family "Bacterial small subunit ribosomal RNA", at positions 30 to 523 of the family's 1533-position model. The record is from RNAcentral.
AUUGAACGCUGGCGGCAGGCUUAACACAUGCAAGUCGAGCGGGGGAAGGUAGCUUGCUACCGGACCUAGCGGCGGACGGGUGAGUAAUGCUUAGGAACCUGCCUAUUAGUGGGGGACAACAUCUCGAAAGGGAUGCUAAUACCGCAUACGUCCUACGGGAGAAAGCAGGGGAUCUUCGGACCUUGCGCUAAUAGAUGAGCCUAAGUCGGAUUAGCCAGUUGGUGGGGUAAAGGCCUACCAAGGCGACGAUCUGUAGCGGGUCUGAGAGGAUGAUCCGCCACACUGGGACUGAGACACGGCCCAGACUCAUACGGGAGGCAGCAGUGGGGAAUAUUGGACAAUGGGUGGAACCCUGAUCCAGCCAUGCCGCGUGUGUGAAGAAGGCCUUAUGGUUGUAAAGCACUUUAAGCGAGGAGGAGGCUACUCUAGUUAAUACCUAGGGAUAGUGGACGUUACUCGCAGAAUAAGCACCGGCUAACGCUGUGCCAGCCGCCGCCGUAA